This 492-nucleotide ribosomal RNA is filed under the name uncultured bacterium. Its description in RNAcentral is "partial 16S ribosomal RNA". It matches the Rfam family "Bacterial small subunit ribosomal RNA", at positions 29 to 507 of the family's 1533-position model. The record is from RNAcentral.
AGUGGACGCUGGCGGUAGGCCUAACACAUGCAAGUCGAACGACAGCACAGUAAGAGCUUGCUCUUACGGGUGGCGAGUGGCGGACGGGUGAGGAAUACAUCGGAAUCUACUUUUUCGUGGGGGAUAACGUAGGGAAACUUACGCUAAUACCGCAUACGACCUACGGGUGAAAGCAGGGGAUCUUCGGACCUUGCGCGAUUGAAUGAGCCGAUGUCGGAUUAGCUAGUUGGCGGGGUAAAGGCCCACCAAGGCGACGAUCCGUAGCUGGUCUGAGAGGAUGAUCAGCCACACUGGAACUGAGACACGGUCCAGACUCCUACGGGAGGCAGCAGUGGGGAAUAUUGGACAAUGGGCGAAAGCCUGAUCCAGCCAUACCGCGUGGGUGAAGAAGGCCUUCGGGUUGUAAAGCCCUUUUGUUGGGAAAGAAAAGCAGCAGGUUAAUACCCCGCUGUUCUGACGGUACCCAAAGAAUAAGCACCGGCUAACUUCGUG